Molecule: transfer RNA, 17 nt
Filed under: Papilio demoleus libanius
Lineage: Eukaryota; Metazoa; Arthropoda; Insecta; Lepidoptera; Papilionidae
Description: partial tRNA-Leu
Source: RNAcentral
UAUGGCAGAUUAUAUGG